AUGAACGCUGGCGGCGUGCCUAACCCAUGCAAGUCGAACGGAGUCCAGCCUUAGAGACCUUCGGGUCAAAGAGGGGAAGACUGAGUGGCGGACGGGUGAGUAACACGUGGGCAACCUGGCUCAUAGAGGGGGAUAACAGAGAGAAAUUUCUGCUAAUACCGCAUAAGCACACACUGCCGCAUGGCAGAGUGUGAAAAGAGAAUCGCUAUGAGAUGGACCCGCGUCUGAUUAGCCAGUUGGCAGGGUAAGAGCCUACCAAAGCGACGAUCAGUAGCCGAUUUGAGAGGAUGAACGGCCACAUUGGGACUGAGACACGGCCCAAACUCCUACGGGAGGCAGCAGUGGGGGAUAUUGCACAAUGGGGGGAACCCUGAUGCAGCGACGCCGCGUGAGUGAAGAAGUAUUUCGGUAUGUAAAGCUCUAUCAGCAGGGAAGAUAAUGACAGUACCUGAAUAAGAAGCCCCGGCUAACUACGUG
Molecule: ribosomal RNA, 477 nt
Filed under: uncultured bacterium
Lineage: Bacteria
Description: partial 16S ribosomal RNA
Rfam family: Bacterial small subunit ribosomal RNA
Source: RNAcentral